AGUUGGUGGGGUAAUGGCCUACCAAGCCGAAGACGAGUAACCGGUGUGAGAGCACGAUCGGUCAGAGGGGGACUGAGACACGGCCCCCACUCCUACGGGAGGCGGCAGCAGGGAAUCUUGCGCAAUGGGCGAAAGCCUGACGCAGCGACACCGCGUGGAGGAUGAAUGUCUUAGGAUUGUAAACUCCUUUUAUCAAGGAAGAGAACGGACGGUACUUGAUGAAUAAGGUUCGGCUAACUACGUGCCAGCAGCCGCGGUAAUACGUAGGAACCGAGCGUUGUCCGAAUUUACUGGGCGUAAAGAGCGCGUAGGCGGUCUAUUAAGUCUCAUGUGUAAUCUCCCGGCUCAACUGGGAGGGGUCAUGGGAUACUGGUAGACUUGAAGAUAGCAGAGGAAAGCGGAAUUCCCGGAGUAGUGGUGAAAUGCGUAGAUACCGGGAGGAACACCAGAAGCGAAGGCGGCUUUCUGGGCUAUUCUUGACGCUGAGGCGCGAAAGCGUGGGGAGCGAACCGGAUUAGAUACCCGGGUAGUCCACGCCCUAAACGAUGGAUACUAGAUGUUGGAGGUAUAGACCCCUUCAGUGUCGAAGUUAACGCGAUAAGUAUCCCGCCUGGGGAGUACGGCCGCAAGGCUAAAACUCAAAGGAAUUGACGGGGACCCGCACAAGCAGCGGAGCGUGUGGUUUAAUUCGAUGCAAAGCGAAAAACCUUACCUAGGCUUGACAUGUUUCUGAAAGCCCCCGAAACGGGGCCCUCCUUCGGGACAGAAUCACAGAUGUUGCAUGGCUGUCGUCAGCUCGUGUCGUGAGAUGUUGGGUUAAGUCCCGCAACGAGCGCAACCCCUGUCGUUAGUUACUAUGUCUAACGAGACUGCCCCCAUUGGGGAGAGGAAGGUGGGGACGAGGUCAA
RNAcentral lists this ribosomal RNA (908 nucleotides) under uncultured Chloroflexota bacterium. Its description in RNAcentral is "bacterial SSU rRNA". It matches the Rfam family "Bacterial small subunit ribosomal RNA", at positions 247 to 1188 of the family's 1533-position model. The record is from RNAcentral. Lineage: Bacteria; Bacillati; Chloroflexota.